UACGUAGGGCCCGAGCGUUAUCCGAUUUUAUUGGGCGUAAAGAGUGCGUAGGCGGUGAUUUAAGACAAUGGUUAAAGACCUGGGCUCAACUCAGGGAAUGCCGUCGUGACUGAUUCACUAGACGAUAGCAGGGGCAAGCAGAAUUCUCGGUGUAGGGGUGAAAUCCGUUGAUAUCGAGAAGAAUACCAAUGGCGAAGGCAGCUUGCUAGGCUAUAUGUGACGCUGAGGCACGAAAGCGUGGGGAGCGAACGGG
RNAcentral lists this ribosomal RNA (253 nucleotides) under uncultured bacterium. RNAcentral describes it as "partial 16S ribosomal RNA". It matches the Rfam family "Bacterial small subunit ribosomal RNA", at positions 524 to 776 of the family's 1533-position model. The record is from RNAcentral.